RNAcentral lists this non-coding RNA (169 nucleotides) under Fusibacter sp. 3D3. The record is from RNAcentral. RNAcentral also lists the same sequence under 1 other name. Lineage: Bacteria; Bacillati; Bacillota; Clostridia; Eubacteriales; Fusibacteraceae.
AACUACAUAAAGUAUUUUGGUCAUGAAAAUGUGAAAAGGGAAUCAGGUAAAAGCCUGAGCAGCACCCACUACUGUAAGCCAGACGAGCAUAUAGAGCCACUGAGAAAUCGGGAAGGUAUAUGUAAGGAUGAAAGCCAGCCAGGAGACCUACCAAAAUAUGAACCAAUUU